GCCGAGGUAGCUCAGUUGGUAGAGCAUUCGCCUGAAGAGCGAGGGGUCACCAGUUCAAUCCUGGUCCUCGGCACCA
Molecule: transfer RNA, 76 nt
Filed under: Candidatus Yonathbacteria bacterium
Lineage: Bacteria; Candidatus Yonathiibacteriota
Description: tRNA-Phe
Rfam family: tRNA
About the family: Transfer RNA (tRNA) molecules are approximately 80 nucleotides in length. Their secondary structure includes four short double-helical elements and three loops (D, anti-codon, and T loops).
Source: RNAcentral